RNAcentral lists this ribosomal RNA (484 nucleotides) under uncultured bacterium. Its description in RNAcentral is "partial 16S ribosomal RNA". It matches the Rfam family "Bacterial small subunit ribosomal RNA", at positions 30 to 507 of the family's 1533-position model. The record is from RNAcentral.
AUUGAACGCUGGCGGCAGGCCUAACACAUGCAAGUCGAGCGGAUGAAGGGAGCUUGCUCCUGGAUUCAGCGGCGGACGGGUGGGUAAUGCCUAGGAAUCUGCCUGGUAGUGGGGGAUAACGUCCGGAAACGGGCGCUAAUACCGCAUACGUCCUGAGGGAGAAAGGGGGGGAUCUUCGGACCUCACGCUAUCAGAUGACCCUAGGUCGGAUUAGCUAGUUGGUGGGGUAAAGGCCUACCAAGGCGACGAUCCGUAACUGGUCUGAGAGGAUGAUCAGUCACACUGGAACUGAGACACGGUCCAGACUCCUACGGGAGGCAGCAGUGGGGAAUAUUGGACAAUGGGCGAAAGCCUGAUCCAGCCAUGCCGCGUGUGUGAAGAAGGUCUUCGGAUUGUAAAGCACUUUAAGUUGGGAGGAAGGGCAGUAAGUUAAUACCUUGCUGUUUUGACGUUACCAACAGAAUAAGCACCGGCUAACUUCGUG